UACGAAGGGGGCUAGCGUUGUUCGGAAUUACUGGGCGUAAAGCGCACGUAGGCGGAUAUUUAAGUCAGGGGUGAAAUCCCAGAGCUCAACUCUGGAACUGCCUUUGAUACUGGGUAUCUCGAGUCCGAGAGAGGUGAGUGGAAUUCCGAGUGUAGAGGUGAAAUUCGUAGAUAUUCGGAGGAACACCAGUGGCGAAGGCGGCUCACUGGCUCGGUACUGACGCUGAGGUGCGAAAGCGUGGGGAGCAAACAGG
Molecule: ribosomal RNA, 253 nt
Filed under: uncultured bacterium
Lineage: Bacteria
Description: partial 16S ribosomal RNA
Rfam family: Bacterial small subunit ribosomal RNA
Source: RNAcentral